UGCAGACAGGCACAAAAAAAGCAUGUUUUCUGGAAAAGCCACCGGAAAACAUGCUUUUUUGAUCUCUUGACUCGCCAAAAACAUAAGUAAGGAGCCAUUUUUCGAAGGAAAAUGAGCGGAUUACGAAUGUUUUUGAAGAUUGCGUGAGUGCAAAGCACAUAGCAAUCUGGUAUCA
This 175-nucleotide small RNA is filed under the name Blautia sp. CAG:37. RNAcentral describes it as "Clostridiales-1 RNA". It matches the Rfam family "Clostridiales-1 RNA". The record is from Rfam by way of RNAcentral. Lineage: Bacteria; Bacillati; Bacillota; Clostridia; Lachnospirales; Lachnospiraceae.